Non-coding RNA from Lingula anatina, 114 nucleotides. The record is from Rfam. Lineage: Eukaryota; Metazoa; Brachiopoda; Lingulata; Lingulida; Lingulidae.
GUCGGUUACGGAGACGUGGUUCCGGCGACACUUUGGGGUAAACUCAUUGGUGCAGUUUGUUGUAUCUGUGGUGUUCUAGUCAUUGCUCUUCCGAUUCCUAUCAUUGUUAACAAU